This is a long non-coding RNA of Oreochromis aureus, 1335 nucleotides long. The record is from Ensembl. Lineage: Eukaryota; Metazoa; Chordata; Actinopteri; Cichliformes; Cichlidae.
UGGACAAAGGUGGGAGAAUCACAGAUUUGUGUGCUCUCAUGAUCAUUUCUGUCCCCAUCAACAUCCCUAUCAUCACAUCAGCAUUCACACCAUCACAUGUGUCUGACUGCCUCUCCGUGGAAAAAGAAAGCAGAGUACGAGUCCUCUCAGGGUCCUGAUAAGAAGAGGACCGUCUAUCAGAUGGCUUUAAAUAAACUGGAUGAAAUCUUGGCUGCCGCCCAACACACCAUGACAUCAGACAACCAGGGCCAGAGAGGUCAUGGAGGCAAGAGGGACCGAAGCAAGAGUAUUGUUCCCAAUGUGUCCAAGGAGCAACCAUAUGAUCAGCAGUCAUCACUGGCAAUGGUACAAGCUGGACCUGGUUUUGACUACAACCAAGCUCAUUUUCAACCAGGCCACGGUCCCCAGCAUGCAGUCAUGAUGCGUCAAAAAUCUAUUGGUGUAACAGAGGAGGAAAGGCAGUACCUUCACCCACCUGCUAUGAAGUUAGCUCGCAGCCUGUCUGUGCCUGGACCAGAAGAAAUCCCCCCACCCCCUAACACGUCUGCUCCAGAGCCACCUUUAUCUGCAGGCCCUCAUCCGGGUAGAGGACCUGCCAUGCCAAUCCCCCCUGUAUCUCAACCCCACUACCAGCUCCACUCUCAGCCAGGGCAUCCGUCUCAAGCUGGCUGGGAGAGGGCAGGACCAGGUGUAAUGAACCAGCAGGUCAUGGUUCCCACGCUUCGCAGGCAGUCAGAAGGAGUGUGCAUCAGAGAGCCAGAGGCGCCCAGGAGAGGUGGUGGCAAGAUGGGAGGACUAAGGAGAGGCUACAGCAGUGCUACACCCCCAACAAGUGCUAAGCCUAAGGCCCAACAACAAGCACCCCAGCAUCAACCACCUGUGUCCAACCGGGAUCAGAGUGGAGGAGUUGGCAGAGGGGUGGCAAGGAGGGGAGGUCGGGGAGCUUUGAUGAAACAGUCAAAAGUGGAAGAUGGUCUGAGACAGCAUCGAGGAAAAGGAGGUGCAACCAAAGAGAAGAGCUCUAUCCCCAUCCCCACCAUCAUUGUCAAAGCGCCCUCCACCAGUAGCAGUGGUCGAAGCAGCCAGGGUAGCAGCAUGGAGGCUGAGCCCUCCCAAGAUGUGGAAGACCAAACCUCUGGAGAGGCAACCCCAGACAGCCCUAAUGCCAGCCUGCCCUCACCACUCACCUCUGUGCCACCUCAACCUCCAACAUCGACUUCUUUGCCUUCAUCAACUGUUGCCCCUUCGGUUUCCUCACAGCAAAACCUAGAAAACUUGGAUUAUAGUUCAGCAUUUGGUACAACAUUCGCAGGUGGAGGAGCACGCAGGGAAAGG